RNAcentral lists this ribosomal RNA (553 nucleotides) under uncultured archaeon. RNAcentral's name for it is "bacterial SSU rRNA". It matches the Rfam family "Archaeal small subunit ribosomal RNA", at positions 325 to 879 of the family's 1478-position model. The record is from RNAcentral.
ACGGGGUGCAGCAGGCGCGAAAACUUUACAAUGCGGGCAACCGCGAUAAGGGGACCUCGAGUGCCGACAUCAAAUGUCGGCUGUCGUGAUGCCUAAAAAGCAUUGCAUAGCAAGGGCCGGGCAAGACCGGUGCCAGCCGCCGCGGUAACACCGGCGGCUCGAGUGGUAACUGUUAUUAUUGGGUUUAAAGGGUCUGUAGCCGGCCGGAUUAGUCUCUUGGUAAAUCUGGCAGCUUAACUGUCAGGCUUCAGGAGAUACUGUUCGGCUCGAGACCGGAAGAGGUGAGAGGUACUUCAGGGGUAGGGGUGAAAUCUUGUAAUCCUUGAAGGACCACCAGUGGCGAAGGCGUCUCACCAGAACGGAUCUGACGGCAAGGGACGAAAGCUAGGGGCACGAACCGGAUUAGAUACCCGGGUAGUCCUAGCCGUAAACAAUACUCGCUAGGUGUCGGCCACGGUGCGACCGUGGUCGGUGCCGUAGGGAAGCCGUGAAGCGAGCCACCUGGGAAGUACGGCCGCAAGGCUGAAACUUAAAGGAAUUGGCGGGGGAGCAC